GGUCAUCUUAGGUGUUCGAGUUUUCCUCUUAUCAGGUUGACCGAUCAAGUAACACCACAUUGGGACGGCGAAUUUCUUCUGUGCGUGCAUGCCAUUUCCCUUGGUAGCCCAGAACGGAAGAAUAACUGACCCACCUGCUUAAUAAUAGCGGGUUCAACUGUACGGAAAAAUCAACGGCACCACUAAGAGCCAGC
The sequence is a non-coding RNA, 194 nucleotides long. It matches the Rfam family "6S / SsrS RNA". Rfam says of the family: E. coli 6S RNA was the first non coding RNA to be sequenced, but its function was unknown until recently. It consists of 184 nucleotides that fold into an extended hairpin structure with a large single-stranded internal bulge. The 6S RNA specifically associates with RNA polymerase holoenzyme containing the sigma70 specificity factor. The record is from Rfam.